CCUACGGGAGGCAGCAGUGGGGAAUAUUGGUCAAUGGGCGCAAGCCUGACCCAGCAACGUCGCGUGAAGGAUGAAUGUUCUCGGAGUUUAAACUUCUUUUUCGAGGGACGUAGAAUGACGGUACCUCGUAAGAAAGCCUCGGCUAACUACGUGCCAGCAGCCUCAGUAAUACGCAGGAGGCAAGCGUUUUCCGGAAUGACUGGGCUUAAAGGGAUUGUAGGCGGUUCAUCAAGUUAGAUGUGAAAUCUCGCGGCUUAACCGGGAAUCUGCAUCUCAACCUGGUAAGCUGGAGUGCAGGAGAGGUGGGCGGAAUUCGUAGUGUAGCGGUGAAAUGCGUAGAUAUUAGGAAGAACACCAGAGGCGAAGGCGACUCACUGGACUGUAACUGACGCUGAGGCUCGAAAGCGUGGGGAGCAAACAGGAUUAGAUACCCCUGUAGUC
RNAcentral lists this ribosomal RNA (441 nucleotides) under uncultured bacterium. RNAcentral's name for it is "partial 16S ribosomal RNA". It matches the Rfam family "Bacterial small subunit ribosomal RNA", at positions 338 to 795 of the family's 1533-position model. The record is from RNAcentral.